Molecule: ribosomal RNA, 281 nt
Filed under: uncultured prokaryote
Description: partial 16S ribosomal RNA
Rfam family: Bacterial small subunit ribosomal RNA
Source: RNAcentral
UACGUAGGGGGCUAGCGUUAUCCGGAAUUACUGGGCGUAAAGGGUGCGUAGGUGGUUUCUUAAGUCAGAGGUGAAAGGCUACGGCUCAACCGUAGUAAGCCUUUGAAACUGGGAAACUUGAGUGCAGGAGAGGAGAGUGGAAUUACUAGUGUAGCGGUGAAAUGCGUAGAUAUUAGGAGGAACACCAGUUGCGAAGGCGGCUCUCUGGACUGUAACUGACACUGAGGCACGAAAGCGUGGGGAGCAAACAGGAUUAGAUACCCCCGUAGUCCCUGAGCGGG